GAUGAACGCUGGCGGCGUGCUUAACACAUGCAAGUCGAACGAUGAGGCCCAGCUUUCUGGGUUGAUUCGUGGCGAACGGGUGAGUAACACGUGAGUAACCUGCCCUUAACUCUGGGAUAAGCCUGUUCAACUAGGUCUAAUACCGGCUAGGAGCGUCCUCCGCCUGCUGGGUGUUGGAAUGAUUUAUCGGUUUUGGGUGGCCUCUCGGCCUAUCAGCUUGUUAGUAAGGUAAUGGCUCACCAAGGCGGCGACAGGUAGCCGGCAUGGGAGGGUGAACGGCCACAAGGCGACUGCGAGACGGCGCAGAAGGCAACGGGAGGCAGCAGGGGGGAAUAUUGCACAACGGGCGCAAGCCUGAUGCAGAGACGCCGCGAGAGGGAUGACGGCCUUCGGGUGGUAAACAUAUGUCAGUAGGGAAGAAGAGAAAGUGACGGUACCUGCAGAAGAAGCACCGGCUAACUACGUG
Molecule: ribosomal RNA, 466 nt
Filed under: uncultured bacterium
Lineage: Bacteria
Description: partial 16S ribosomal RNA
Rfam family: Bacterial small subunit ribosomal RNA
Source: RNAcentral